Molecule: ribosomal RNA, 293 nt
Filed under: uncultured bacterium
Lineage: Bacteria
Description: partial 16S ribosomal RNA
Rfam family: Archaeal small subunit ribosomal RNA
Source: RNAcentral
GUGCCAGCCGCCGCGGUAAUACCGGCAGCCCAAGUGAUGGCCGCUGUUAUUGGGCCUAAAGCGUCCGUAGCUGGCUGCGCAAGUCCGUCGGGAAAUCCACUCGCCCAACGAGUGGGCGUCCGACGGAAACUGCACAGCUUGGGACCGGAAGGCUCGAAGGGUACGUUCGGGGUAGGAGUGAAAUCCCGUAAUCCUGGACGGACCGCCGAUGGCGAAAGCACCUCGAGAGGACGGACCCGACAGUGAGGGACGAAAGCCAGGGUCUCGAACCGGAUUAGAUACCCUAGUAGUCC